UGAGGAAUAUUGGUCAAUGGGCGGAAGCCUGAACCAGCCAUGCCGCGUGCAGGAUGACGGCCCUACGGGUUGUAAACUGCUUUUCCGGGGGAAGAAUAAGGCCCACGCGUGGGUCGAUGCCGGUACCCCGGGAAUAAGGAUCGGCUAACUCCGUGCCAGCAGCCGCGGUAAUACGGAGGAUCCGAGCGUUAUCCGGAUUUACUGGGUUUAAAGGGUGCGUAGGCGGGCCCCUCAGUCAGCGGUGAAAGUCUGCGGCUCAACCGGAGGACUGCGGUUGAUACUGGGGGACUUGGAUACGGUCGAGGCGGGCGGAAUGCGUGGUGUAGCGGUGAAAUGCUUAGAUAUCACGCAGAACGCCGAUUGCGAAGGCAGCUCGCCGGGCCGUGAUCGACGCUGAGGCACGAAAGCGUGGGGAUCGAACA
This 422-nucleotide ribosomal RNA is filed under the name uncultured prokaryote. RNAcentral describes it as "bacterial SSU rRNA". It matches the Rfam family "Bacterial small subunit ribosomal RNA", at positions 355 to 774 of the family's 1533-position model. The record is from RNAcentral.